AUAUCAAUAAGCGGAGGAAAAGAAACCAACAGGGAUUGCCUCAGUAACGGCGAGUGAAGCGGCAACAGCUCAAAUUUGAAAUCUGGGGCCUUCGGCUCCCGAGUUGUAAUUUGUAGAGGAUGCCUCGGGGGGUGCUUCGGCCCAAGUUCCUUGGAACAGGAUACCACAGAGGGUGAGAGUCCCGUAUCCGGCCGGCAGUGCCCUCCGCGCGAGGCUCCUUCGACGAGUCGAGUUGUUUGGGAAUGCAGCUCUAAGCGGGUGGUAAAUUCCAUCUAAAGCUAAAUACUGGCCAGAGACCGAUAGCGCACAAGUA
This 313-nucleotide ribosomal RNA is filed under the name uncultured eukaryote. RNAcentral describes it as "partial large subunit ribosomal RNA". It matches the Rfam family "Eukaryotic large subunit ribosomal RNA", at positions 40 to 350 of the family's 3401-position model. The record is from RNAcentral.